UGGCUCAGACGGUAAAGCCUCUGUCUACAAUGCAGGAGACCCAGGUUCGAGCCCUGG
This is a transfer RNA of Ovis aries (sheep), 57 nucleotides long. It matches the Rfam family "tRNA", at positions 8 to 63 of the family's 71-position model. Rfam says of the family: Transfer RNA (tRNA) molecules are approximately 80 nucleotides in length. The record is from Rfam. NCBI's taxonomy places the organism in Eukaryota, Metazoa, Chordata, Mammalia, Artiodactyla, Bovidae.